RNAcentral lists this long non-coding RNA (669 nucleotides) under Mus spicilegus (steppe mouse). RNAcentral's name for it is "lncRNA (ENSMSIG00000026818.1)". Lineage: Eukaryota; Metazoa; Chordata; Mammalia; Rodentia; Muridae. The record is from RNAcentral.
UAGGCUCAGGACCGUUGCUAUUCUCUGCUGCUGUUUUUCCAAAUUUCACAUUUCACAUUUGGGUCUCCAGUCUACCUGGAGUCAUGGCUGCUGUCUGGACACCUGUGAGAUGGAGCAUUGUCCUCUCUGCCCUGUGCUGCCACUUUGUUCAGACGCAUGUCCUCAUAAACUCUGAUGUACCUGUCACUGCGAGGAUCUGCAUAACUAAAUCAUCAAAGAUGUGACAUCACACAGAGCAAGGCUCGCUACUCAGCGUAUCAGGAUGGCCUUGGAUUCCUCACUGUUUCGUUCUCACACUCGCUUUGCAGGAGCUUAGCAGUUCCUAGAAAACAGAGCCCACUGUGCGGACUGAGCUGAUGGGGCAGAUCCCUCCUCCCAGUACAUCCUGCCUGGUGGAGCACGGUACCUUGAGGAUCCAGACAACCAGGCCAGAGGGUGCUGACGUUGAUCUCUGUGUCCUCCUGCCUUGGGAUGCUAGAUUAUGGACCUUCACCAUCAUAGUUGGCAAGAAAGUUGACUUUUCCAGAUGAUCCAUUUGGGUACAAAUACAAACAAGGUUGGCACAUUGGGUUUACGUAAGUUUCUUAGUCUCUGACGCUGGUAAGAACUGUGCUGCUCCUCCUCUCCUAGCUGUGGAUUGACUGAAAGCCCAGAAAGUUUGUCCCAUUG